This 151-nucleotide small nuclear RNA is filed under the name Salvator merianae (Argentine black and white tegu). RNAcentral describes it as "U1 spliceosomal RNA (ENSSMRG00000020108.1)". The stretch from base 1 to 134 matches the Rfam family "U1 spliceosomal RNA". From Rfam's summary of the family: U1 is a small nuclear RNA (snRNA) component of the spliceosome (involved in pre-mRNA splicing). Its 5' end forms complementary base pairs with the 5' splice junction, thus defining the 5' donor site of an intron. There are significant differences in sequence and secondary structure between metazoan and yeast U1 snRNAs, the latter being much longer (568 nucleotides as compared to 164 nucleotides in human). Lineage: Eukaryota; Metazoa; Chordata; Lepidosauria; Squamata; Teiidae. The record is from RNAcentral.
GGAUUUGCCUGGCUGGGGAGAUACCUUCAUCACGAAGAUGGUUUUCCCAAAUGCAUGCCAUUUGCCUUCUGGCUGUGCCAACUUCUGCCAUUUGCCCCAAAUGUGGGAAAUUUCGCCUGCAUCAUUUGUGCAUCACUUCUGAAGAGGAAAU